CAUACACAUAUAGAGUAAAGCGCAUAUCUCCCCAGACCUAUAGGCAACCCUUAAAGGCAUAGUCUCUAGUUAUAGUCCAAGUGGCUAGGUUUGCCACAACCAACCAAACUGGGAAUGCCCAGAUGGAGAGGUAGCAUCGUCGCAUCUCUGGGGCCCAAGAGUCUCCUAAGAGGUGCCUAGCAGCCUGCGAUAGUGCGCCGAUCUGCCAAGAACCCCAGAAAGAGUCCAGGUCCUU
This is a non-coding RNA of Pelobates cultripes (western spadefoot toad), 235 nucleotides long. The record is from the annotation of a GenBank genome assembly. Lineage: Eukaryota; Metazoa; Chordata; Amphibia; Anura; Pelobatidae.